GACGAACCGUGCGAACGUUGUUCGGAAUCACUGGGCUUAAAGGGCGCGUAGGCGGCCCGCCGCGUCCGGGGUGAAAUCCUCCCGCUCAACGGGAGAACGGCCUCGGAUACGGGCGGGCUGGAGGGGGGUAGGGGCAGGCGGAACUGUGGGUGGAGCGGUGAAAUGCGUUGAGAUCCACAGGAACUCCGGUGGCGAAGGCGGCCUGCUGGACCCCACCUGACGCUGAGGCGCGAAAGCCAGGGGAGCGAACAGG
Molecule: ribosomal RNA, 253 nt
Filed under: uncultured bacterium
Lineage: Bacteria
Description: partial 16S ribosomal RNA
Rfam family: Bacterial small subunit ribosomal RNA
Source: RNAcentral